This 819-nucleotide ribosomal RNA is filed under the name Deladenus sp. K14 RH-2018. RNAcentral's name for it is "SSU rRNA". It matches the Rfam family "Eukaryotic small subunit ribosomal RNA", at positions 194 to 1018 of the family's 1831-position model. The record is from RNAcentral. Lineage: Eukaryota; Metazoa; Nematoda; Chromadorea; Rhabditida; Sphaerulariidae.
GGGACGAGUGCAUUUAUUAGAGCAAAACCAAGCGGCCGCAAGGUCGUGUUUUGCUGACUCAAAAUAACUACUAGCUGAUCGCAUGGUCUAGCACCGGCGACGUGUCUUUCGAGUAUCUGCCUUAUCAAUUUUCGAUGGUAGUGUAUCUGACUACCAUGGUGUUGACGGGUAACGGAGAAUCAGGGUUCGACUCCGGAGAAGGGGCCUGAGAAAUGGCCACUACGUUUAAGGAUGGCAGCAGGCGCGCAAAUUACCCACUCUCGGAAAGAGGAGGUAGUGACGAGAAAUAAUGAGACCGUUCUCUAUGAGGCCGGUUAUCGUAAUGGGUACAAUCUAAACCCUUUAACGAGUAUCUAUGAGAGGGCAAGUCUGGUGCCAGCAGCCGCGGUAAUACCAGCUCUCAAAAUGCAUAGAACCAUUGCUGCGGUUAAAAAGCUCGUAGUUGAAUCUAUGCCGAAGGCAUGGUCCACUCUUGUAGUGCGCACUAUGUUCUUCGGCUUAGCGUCGGUUUUCUUGUCGUUGUCUUGAUUGAUCGCGGCAAGUGGCUGGCAAUUUUACUUUGAACAAAUCAAAGUGCUUAAAACAGGCGUUUCGCUUGAAUGAUUUUGCAUAGAAUAAUAGAAUAUGACUAUGGUCUAGUUUUAUUGGUUUUAUAGAUCGUUGUAAUGAUUAAAAGAGACAAACGGGGGCAUUCGUAUUGUUGCGUGAGAGGUGAAAUUCUGUGACCGUAGCAAGACGACCUACAGCGAAAGCAUUUGCCAAGCUUGUCUUCAUUAAUCAAGAACGAAAGUCAGAGGAUCGAAGGUGAUUAGAUACCGC